This 695-nucleotide ribosomal RNA is filed under the name uncultured Arcobacter sp. RNAcentral describes it as "bacterial SSU rRNA". It matches the Rfam family "Bacterial small subunit ribosomal RNA", at positions 97 to 811 of the family's 1533-position model. Lineage: Bacteria; Pseudomonadati; Campylobacterota; Epsilonproteobacteria; Campylobacterales; Arcobacteraceae. The record is from RNAcentral.
GGCGGACGGGUGAGUAAUAUAUAGUUAACCUGCCCUCGAGAAAGGAAUAACAGUUGGAAACGACUGCUAAUGCCCUAUAUGCCUUUAAGACAUAAGUCUGCAAGGGAAAUGCUUUUGUGCUCGAGGAUGGGACUGUACGGUAUCAGAUAGUUGGUGGGGUAAUGGCCUACCAAGUCAAUGACGCCUAACUGGUUUGAGAGGAUGAUCAGUCACACUGGAACUGAGACACGGUCCAGACUCCUACGGGAGGCAGCAGUGGGGAAUAUUGCACAAUGGAGGAAACUCUGAUGCAGCAACGCCGCGUGGAGGAUGACACAUUUCGGUGCGUAAACUCCUUUUAUAUAGGAAGAUAAUGACGGUACUAUAUGAAUAAGCGCCGGCUAACUCCGUGCCAGCAGCCGCGGUAAUACGGAGGGCGCAAGCGUUACUCGGAAUCACUGGGCGUAAAGAGCGUGUAGGCGGAUAGAUAAGUCAGAAGUGAAAUCCUAUGGCUCAACCAUAGAACUGCUUUUGAAACUGUUUAUCUAGAGUGUGGGAGAGGUAGAUGGAAUUUCUGGUGUAGGGGUAAAAUCCGUAGAGAUCAGAAGGAAUACCGAUUGCGAAGGCGAUCUACUGGAACAUAACUGACGCUGAGACGCGAAAGCGUGGGGAGCAAACAGGAUUAGAUACCCUGGUAGUCCACGCCCUAAACGAUG